CUAACGGGACUGCCCGCGAAAGCGGGAGGAAGGAGGGGACGACGUCUGGUCAGCAUGGCCCUUACGGCCUGGGCGACACACGUGCUACAAUGCCCACUACAAAGCGAUGCCACCCGGCAACGGGGAGCUAAUCGCAAAAAGGUGGGCCCAGUUCGGAUUGGGGUCUGCAACCCGACCCCAUGAAGCCGGAAUCGCUAGUAAUCGCGGAUCAGCCAUGCCGCGGUGAAUACGUUCCCGGGCCUU
This 243-nucleotide ribosomal RNA is filed under the name uncultured Thermus sp. RNAcentral describes it as "partial 16S ribosomal RNA". It matches the Rfam family "Bacterial small subunit ribosomal RNA", at positions 1140 to 1382 of the family's 1533-position model. Lineage: Bacteria; Thermotogati; Deinococcota; Deinococci; Thermales; Thermaceae. The record is from RNAcentral.